CCAGACCUUCAAAGACAAAAGAAGAGACGUCAGGGAAGAAAACCCAUCCCAGCAGAAAAUCAGAAAACCAUUGUUUCAAAAGAAAGAAAGGACCAGAGGGGAGCAGUGACCAGGACUAAAAGUGCUUCAGCUUUGUACCAAUUCUCCCCCUAUUGGCCUUGACUGAUCAGAAUAAAGCUACAGAAUAUUA
Long non-coding RNA from Eptesicus fuscus (big brown bat), 190 nucleotides. RefSeq lists it as uncharacterized. Lineage: Eukaryota; Metazoa; Chordata; Mammalia; Chiroptera; Vespertilionidae. The record is from RefSeq and is a predicted model, not a curated record. The transcript has 2 exons.